RNAcentral lists this ribosomal RNA (497 nucleotides) under uncultured bacterium. RNAcentral describes it as "partial 16S ribosomal RNA". It matches the Rfam family "Bacterial small subunit ribosomal RNA", at positions 28 to 507 of the family's 1533-position model. The record is from RNAcentral.
GAUGAACGCUGGCGGCGUGCUUAAUACAUGCAAGUCGAGCGAACAGACGCUGAGCUUGCUCCUCUGACGAUAGCGGAGGACGUGUGUGUAACACGUGGAUAACCUACUUAUAAGACUGGGAUAACCUCGGGAAACCGGAGCUAAUACCGGAGAAUAUAUUGCACCACAUGGUUCAUUAGUGAAAGACGGCGUUGCUGGCACUUAUAGAGGGAUCCGGGCGGUAUUGGCUGGUUGGUAAGGUAACGGCUUUUCAAGGCUAGGAGGCGUAGGCGACGUGAGGGGGUGGUAGGCGACACUGGAGCGGAGACAGGGUCCAGAGUCCUACGGGAGGCAGCAGUAUGGAAUGUGCGGCAAUAGUCGAAAGCAUGGCGGAGCAACGGGACGUGAGUGAUGAAGGUCUUCGGAGCGUAAAACUCUGUUAUUGGUGAAGAACAGAUGUGUAAGGAGCUAUGGACGUCGUGACGGUACCUAGUCAGGAAGCCACGGCUAACUACGUG